RNAcentral lists this ribosomal RNA (336 nucleotides) under uncultured Glomeromycotina. RNAcentral describes it as "LSU rRNA". Lineage: Eukaryota; Fungi; Glomeromycota. The record is from RNAcentral.
UUGAAAGGGGAAACGAUUGAAGUCAGUCAUGCUAGUGAAAAAUCAGUUUGACGGGUUUUGAGUUCUGGAGUAGAGGCAGGGUCAAACCGUUUCUCUUUCGGACUUGAGAUUUGGCAGAUGUACUUUUUCUUUGGCAGGUCAACGUCGGUUUCGGGGGUUGUAAAAUACUUGGGGGAAAGUAGCUCUGCUUCGGGAGAGUGUUAUAGACCCUGGGAGAUGCAGCCUGUGGGAUCGAGGAUUGCAGCAAAUGCCUUUGGCUUGUCGCCUGAUCCUGGGUGUUACCUCUCUUGUGACAACAUUCUUGCCACCGGAGGGUACUAAUGUCCNCGUAGANCA